This is a long non-coding RNA of Clarias gariepinus (North African catfish), 827 nucleotides long. RefSeq lists it as uncharacterized. The record is from RefSeq and is a predicted model, not a curated record. NCBI's taxonomy places the organism in Eukaryota, Metazoa, Chordata, Actinopteri, Siluriformes, Clariidae. The transcript is spliced from 2 exons.
GAGCAGAUAGUUCCAGGUGGUGCAGUUCCUAUUCCAGAGGACCCAAAUAGCUCAUCCAUUUGCUGCAGAAAAAGCACAAUGUGAUACGAAAGUGACUUUGUAAUAAGAUGCAAAAUGAUCUUAUACAGUGCAGUCUUAGACUUACUGUGUAGUACUCCCAGGUUUGCUUUCCCUCCCCAGUUGCACGGCGGCGAUCCUUAACUCUUUUUCUUAGGUGCCAUACCUUGUGAUUCAGGGCGGUCUAUCUGGACGGAGGAUGGGUUUCUGGCUCCUGAAGGAUUACCACCCACUGCAUCGGUUUUUAGGGUGGUAGUCGGUAGGUCCUGGCUAAUAGGUGUCUGUUGCACAGGGCACUGGCUGGUUGGUGGUUUCACAAAACUGAGAUUUAGGGGUACAGGUGACUCAGUGGAGGUAGAGGGACAUAGAGAAGGAGGUGGGGAAACACUGCAGCACAAGCUAGAUCGCUGAUACUGUAGGAGCUAUUUAGAGAGAAAGCUGAAAAUUUAGUUGUCACUUAUGUGUCCAGUAUGUGUUUGUUCAUCACAAGUGUUUACCUUGUUUUGUGUCAACGGCUGUAACUUUUGCCAUGACAUCAGAGAGGAACAUCUGGGGAAAUGCUCAAAACUAUCACACAGUCCUCUCUCUGGAACUUUCUUGAAGGUCUCCAUUGACUAUGCCUUUCUAAACUUGUUUUGUGAUUUGUUUUUAUUUUUGUCUUUGCAUUUAAGAAUUUAUAGCCAUUAGAAUGUUGCCUGUUGUUAAGAUACCUGUACCACUGCUGUUGUUUUGUUGAAAAAUUUAAUAAAAAUCACACAAAUCAUUGUUAA